RNAcentral lists this ribosomal RNA (460 nucleotides) under uncultured bacterium. RNAcentral's name for it is "partial 16S ribosomal RNA". It matches the Rfam family "Bacterial small subunit ribosomal RNA", at positions 338 to 795 of the family's 1533-position model. The record is from RNAcentral.
ACUACGGGAGGCAGCAGUGAGGAAUAUUGGUCAAUGGGCGGAAGCCUGAACCAGCCAAGUAGCGUGCAGGAUGACGGCCCUACGGGUUGUAAACUGCUUUUAUACGGGAAUAACGCGCCUUACGUGUAGGGCUUUGCAUGUACCGUAUGAAUAAGGAACGGCUAAUUCCGUGCCAGCAGCCGCGGUAAUACGGAAGGUCCGGGCUUUAUCCGGAUUUAUUGGGUUUAAAGGGAGCGUAGGCCGCAUGUCAAGCGUGCUGUGAAAUGUCCGGGCUCAACCCGGGCCGUGCAGCGCGAACUGGCGUGCUUGAGUCCGCGGAAGGCAGGCGGAAUUCGUCGUGUAGCGGUGAAAUGCUUAGAUAUGACGAAGAACCCCGAUUGCGAAGGCAGCUUGCUGCAGCGGAACUGACGCUGAUGCUCGAAAGCGCGGGUAUCGAACAGGAUUAGAUACCCGGGUAGUC